UAAGUAUUAUCACAAAAGGAUUUGUCAGAUCACCUGACAUUUUAGUGUCUUGGGUAGCAGUGAUAUAUUGCUAGAUACUGCUUACUGUUUAUUAUGUUAAAUACAUGAUUUAAUAUAAUUACCAAUAUCACGAGAACCUACAGGGUCACAGACAUAAGGAAGGAUUGAUGAGAGAUAGAGUAAAUAAAGAACACCGUAAGAUG
This 203-nucleotide long non-coding RNA is filed under the name Lathyrus oleraceus (garden pea). RNAcentral's name for it is "Pisum sativum (pea) long non-coding RNA (PSAT_LNC036891)". Lineage: Eukaryota; Viridiplantae; Streptophyta; Magnoliopsida; Fabales; Fabaceae. The record is from RNAcentral.